RNAcentral lists this ribosomal RNA (811 nucleotides) under Psychrobacter sp. Its description in RNAcentral is "bacterial SSU rRNA". It matches the Rfam family "Bacterial small subunit ribosomal RNA", at positions 92 to 901 of the family's 1533-position model. The record is from RNAcentral. Lineage: Bacteria; Pseudomonadati; Pseudomonadota; Gammaproteobacteria; Moraxellales; Moraxellaceae.
CGAGCGGCGGACGGGUGAGUAAUACUUAGGAAUCUACCUAGUAGUGGGGGAUAGCACGGGGAAACUCGUAUUAAUACCGCAUACGACCUACGGGAGAAAGGGGGCAGUUUACUGCUCUCGCUAUUAGAUGAGCCUAAGUCGGAUUAGCUAGAUGGUGGGGUAAAGGCCUACCAUGGCGACGAUCUGUAGCUGGUCUGAGAGGAUGAUCAGCCACACCGGGACUGAGACACGGCCCGGACUCCUACGGGAGGCAGCAGUGGGGAAUAUUGGACAAUGGGGGAAACCCUGAUCCAGCCAUGCCGCGUGUGUGAAGAAGGCCUUUUGGUUGUAAAGCACUUUAAGCAGUGAAGAAGACUCCGUGGUUAAUACCCACGGACGAUGACAUUAGCUGCAGAAUAAGCACCGGCUAACUCUGUGCCAGCAGCCGCGGUAAUACAGAGGGUGCAAGCGUUAAUCGGAAUUACUGGGCGUAAAGGGAGCGUAGGUGGCUCGAUAAGUCAGAUGUGAAAUCCCCGGGCUCAACCUGGGAACUGCAUCUGAUACUGUUGAGCUAGAGUAUGUGAGAGGAAGGUAGAAUUCCAGGUGUAGCGGUGAAAUGCGUAGAGAUCUGGAGGAAUACCGAUGGCGAAGGCAGCCUUCUGGCAUAAUACUGACACUGAGGCUCGAAAGCGUGGGUAGCAAACAGGAUUAGAUACCCUGGUAGUCCACGCCGUAAACGAUGUCUACUAGUCGUUGGGUCCCUUGAGGACUUAGUGACGCAGCUAACGCAAUAAGUAGACCGCCUGGGGAGUACGGCCGCAAGGUUAAAACU